GAUGAACGCUAGCUACAGGCUUAACACAUGCAAGUCGCAGGGUAACAUGAGGAAAGCUUGCUUUCCUUGAUGACGACUGGCGCACGGGUGAGUAACGCGUAUCCAACCUUCCCAUAACUACGGGAUAACCCGUUGAAAGACGGCCUAAUACCGUAUGAUAUCGUUUGCUGACAUCAAAUAACGAUUAAAGGUUUAGCGGUUAUGGAUGGGGAUGCGUCUGAUUAGCUUGUUGGCGGGGUAACGGCCCACCAAGGCGACGAUCAGUAGGGGUUCUGAGAGGAAGGUCCCCCACAUUGGAACUGAGACACGGUCCAAACUCCUACGGGAGGCAGCAGUGAGGAAUAUUGGUCAAUGGGCGAGAGCCUGAACCAGCCAAGUAGCGUGCAGGAUGACGGCCCUAUGGGUUGUAAACUGCUUUUAUGUGGGGAUAAAGUGCGUGACGUGUCAUGCAUUGCAGGUACCACAUGAAUAAGGACCGGCUAAUUCCGUG
RNAcentral lists this ribosomal RNA (490 nucleotides) under uncultured bacterium. RNAcentral's name for it is "partial 16S ribosomal RNA". It matches the Rfam family "Bacterial small subunit ribosomal RNA", at positions 28 to 507 of the family's 1533-position model. The record is from RNAcentral.